This 982-nucleotide long non-coding RNA is filed under the name Rattus norvegicus (Norway rat). RNAcentral describes it as "long non-coding RNA NONRATT005050". Lineage: Eukaryota; Metazoa; Chordata; Mammalia; Rodentia; Muridae. The record is from RNAcentral.
AGCUGAUAAGCACCCAGAGAUGUCCCAGAACCUCAGACAGGCCGAGGAGCAGAGUGAAUCCCAGUAUGUCAAUCUGCAGCUGCACACGUUGCCCCUGAGGGAAGAGCCGGUGCCACCAAGUCAGGUGGAGGUAGAAUACAGCACACUGGCAUUACCUCAGGAAGAGCUCCAUUAUACAUCCGUGGUAUUCGACUCUCAGAGGCAGAAUUCUCAUGCCAAUGGGGAUCCCCCUUGUCAAUCUCCGGACCAAAAAACAGAGUACAGUGAGAUCCGGAAGCCCAGAGAAGGUCUCUCUGACCCUCACCCGUGACUCCUUGUCAUCUGAUCCCUUCAAUGGUGACCACCAGGUCCCCAAGCUCCCUGCUGGCUGCUGCCUUCAAUGUCGUGAGCCUCCCUGGCUUCACUAAAGAUGAGCAGGAGCCAGGGCUCUGUGGGUACAGAGUCUCAUCCCUGUGGCUCUCUCCUCUUAGCCUGCAUUUCGUUCUGCCCCUGGUUGUGAAGAUGUAGAUGCUACUCCUUUGGGGCUCUGGGAAGUGACAUGGUUCAUAUAGAAUGGCACUUGUGUUAGUCUUGUAGUGUCAGUGUCUGUGGUCACUGGGAAAGUGGAGAACCAUCAAGGACCUAUGAGACUACACAGAAAGGGGAGUCAUGGAGGCUCUAACCAUCAGCUCCCCCAUCUCACAGAGAAAGAAAUCUAUGUUCUGAGGACAGGAGCCUGAACCAUGCUGCCAAGGUCAGGGGCAAAUUCCUCUGGACUCAUUUUUAUUUUUUGGUUUUUCGAGACAGGGUCUCUCUGUGUAGCUUUGGCUAUCCUGGGAUUCACUCUGUAGACCAGAAAGGCCUCAAACUCGCAGAGCUCUGCCUGCCUCUGUCUCUCGAGUGCUGGGACUAAAGGUGUGUGACACAGCAUCUGGCUUCUCUGGACUCUUAGGUAAAAGAUGAAAUAAAGUUUAUAAUAUCUUUUUAAAGGGAGAAGAAAUGG